RNAcentral lists this long non-coding RNA (902 nucleotides) under Lotus japonicus. RNAcentral describes it as "long non-coding RNA (LJAP_LNC000101)". The record is from RNAcentral. Lineage: Eukaryota; Viridiplantae; Streptophyta; Magnoliopsida; Fabales; Fabaceae.
AAAAGGUUACCCGAUUUAAGAAAGCAAAAGCGCUGCAGCAAUGCAUUGAAGCAAAAAAGUUAUUAGACUUUUUCCUAUAAACAUAAAAUUCAGAAAAAAGAAAAAGGCCUUUGGUAUCUCAUAGUUAGCAAGUUCUAAAUUCUAAAUAAAUUUGAGGUCAUUCAGAAAGUAACACAAUGGAUAAGUAAAAUUCACCAAAAGUAAAAUUUACUAACACAUAGCAUGCCAAUAAACUAUCAUAUAUGUAAAUGACAUCAAUCCAACCCCGUUGACCCCAUCUCAAUAGUUAGCAUUGUUCUUAUCUAAAUGAUAAACCCUACUAGUCAGAUCUGAACACAAUAGAAUGAUAACAACAAAGGCAUUCCUCAUCAAAUUCAAACCCAAUAGAACCUCAAUUUGUAUAUCAACAAUACAUGUCAGAAACCACAUGAAACAAGUUAAGGAACCAAACCCUUUCUUGCAAUACGAUCUUCCUCCGUCUCUAGAGAGUACCAAAUCGUCCAAUAGAAUCAAUCAGUCAUAACCUGCAACAAGUAAGUCACAGUAAGUCGUAAGCGUGAAUCGCACCAUAGCAUUGAAAUCGAAAAAAUGAGACAAAAAGGGGAAAAUGGUUGUAUGCAUGAAUGUAGACAGAAAGAGGUUUGAAUUGCAUCAUAGCAGGCGCAGCGAUGAACGGGAGAGAGAGAAGCCAUCAGAGUGAAGAUAUACAAGGUUGAAUCAUGAAUCGAAACAAUGUAAAUCAAAACGAACCUGAACCAAAGUAGAAUCGGAAAAAACCGAAGUAUAAUCGCAAGAUGAGAGUCUUCAAUCCAUGGCUUGAAUCCAUCACUCAGUGAGAAUCUUCAAUCCAUGGCUUCAAUCCAUCAUCCACAACGAAGAUGAGUUAGGGUUCAGAAGAUGAG